Molecule: ribosomal RNA, 425 nt
Filed under: uncultured Oxobacter sp.
Lineage: Bacteria; Bacillati; Bacillota; Clostridia; Eubacteriales; Clostridiaceae
Description: bacterial SSU rRNA
Rfam family: Bacterial small subunit ribosomal RNA
Source: RNAcentral
UGAGGGAAUAUUGGGGGCAAUGGAGGCAACUCUGACCCAGCCAUGCCGCGUGAGUGAAGAAGGUUUUCGGAUUGUAAAGCUCUUUCGGACAGGAAGAUAAUGACGGUACUGUCUAAAGAAGCCCCGGCUAACUUCGUGCCAGCAGCCGCGGUAAUACGAAGGGGGCGAGCGUUGUUCGGAAUUACUGGGCGUAAAGGGUGCGUAGGCGGUUUGGUAAGUUGGAUGUGAAAUACCCGGGCUUAACUUGGGGGCUGCAUCCAAUACUGUCGGACUUGAGUGCAGGAGAGGAAAGCGGAAUUCCUAGUGUAGCGGUGAAAUGCGUAGAUAUUAGGAGGAACACCGGUGGCGAAGGCGGCUUUCUGGACUGUAACUGACGCUGAGGCACGAAAGCGUGGGGAGCAAACAGGAUUAGAUACCCUGGUAGU